AAGUGGAAGCAUGAAAUGAGCGAAAGGAAAAGAAGAAGAAGAGAGAAUUUGGCUCUUUUCGUUGGUCAUUUUUUCCUCUUUGUUUUCUUGUUUCAUUUCAUUCACGCGCUCCUUUCAGUCACUUGUAAUGAAAUGAACAAGAAGAAC
Molecule: non-coding RNA, 147 nt
Filed under: Symbiodinium sp. clade D
Lineage: Eukaryota; Dinophyceae; Suessiales; Symbiodiniaceae
Source: RNAcentral